GUCAAAAAUGGAAUCUACAUUAGAUUUGCUUCCCGCCAAUAAAUUUCUUAAUUUAAAUAAAGAAAACUUAGUUGUCAAAAAAUAAAGAGUACCGAAAGACAGCGUAUAGCAUUAUAACAACAUAACGUAAUAAUCUAGGUUGUAACACAAUGAAUUGUUUUCUUGCUUUGCUUACCGGCGACAAUUACUUUAACGACCUCCCACAAUCUGCGAACUGUCUUGUUUUCUGAUCAUCAUCGAAGUUGGAAGUUUUGUGUUAACUCAAAUGCGUGAUUUCGAUAAGUUUUCGCUGCAGUAAUUAAUAUAAAAACAUCAGCUCCUCCGCCUCGAUGUAAAGCUACCUUAUUGCGCAAAAGGGCGCCGACGGAACGAUUAAAAAUUUCCAAUUUCCGCAAGUCGCCAAGAGGGUUGUAAAUUUAGCGACCCGACGAACAUAAACAUGUCACGCAGGUGUACUCGCGCCGCGGGCGUGCCGGCUUCUUUGUAAAAUCAAGCGCCCCGCCUUUCUCUUCUUGCACAUUAUCAUUGAAUAACUUUAUCAGAAACAUUAACAUUCGACCAUUAUACCACCCCAAAUCGCUAGUUACAAAUGUUAUUGAAGACCGCUCAGUAACUGCAGCAAGAUUGUCUGACUGAUAUCUUACGUAAUAUUUGUUUAUAUAAAUUAAUAUGAACAAUACCAUAAUAAUAUUGCAUUAUUAAGUAUUAUUGUAAAAAAAAAUUAUUUAAUUCUAUUUUCAAGUCGCUAUUUGGAAUAUUCUUGCCAAAGAGCUAUCCGCCACAGAUAAAUAAUUUCAUCUGCUUCAAAAUUGUCGUUAAUGAAUAAUAAAAGUAUUUGCGUAAUAAUGUAAAUAUAAUUUAUUAUAAAUUCUCAAUUUUUUUCACAAAAUACACGAAUCAAUGUCAUUA
This is a long non-coding RNA of Bombyx mori (domestic silkworm), 909 nucleotides long. RefSeq lists it as uncharacterized. The transcript has 3 exons. The record is from RefSeq and is a predicted model, not a curated record. NCBI's taxonomy places the organism in Eukaryota, Metazoa, Arthropoda, Insecta, Lepidoptera, Bombycidae.